CGCUUCUCAAGAAAGAGAGGGGCAGUCGGUCUGUACAUGCGUGAGGUGGCGAGAGGCGUGUCCAGGGGGCGGCUAGUAGCGUGUGCCACCGUGGAAAUAUGUACAGACAUAAAGAAGACGCCCUCAAGAAAGGCCUGAGUCCAGACCGAGACCCAGAGAAAUGUAAACAAACGCACCAGUCAGACUUGAUAUAGGAGUGAAUUUGUUGCUUUUUAAAGCGGCAGUCGGUCUGUACAUGUGUGAGGUGGCGAGGGGUGUCGCCAGGGGGCGGCUAGUAGCGUCUGCCACCAGGGAAAUAUGUAAAAACAUAAAAAAGACGCUUCUCAAGAAAGAGAGGGGCAGUCGGUCUGUACAUGCGUGAGGUGGCGAGAGGCGUGUCCAGGGGGCGGCUAGUAGCGUGUGCCACCGUGGAAAUAUGUACAGACAUAAAGAAGACGCCCUCAAGAAAGGCCUGAGUCCAGACCGAGACCCAGAGAAAUGUAAACAAACGCACCAGUCAGACUUGAUAUAGGAGUGAAUUUGUUGCUUUUUAAAGCGGCAGUCGGUCUGUACAUGUGUGAGGUGGCGAGGGGUGUCGCCAGGGGGCGGCUAGUAGCGUCUGCCACCAGGGAAAUAUGUAAAAACAUAAAAAAGACGCUUCUCAAGAAAGAGAGGGGCAGUCGGUCUGUACAUGCGUGAGGUGGCGAGAGGCGUGUCCAGGGGGCGGCUAGUAGCGUGUGCCACCGUGGAAAUAUGUACAGACAUAAAGAAGACGCCCUCAAGAAAGGCCUGAGUCCAGACCGAGACCCAGAGAAAUGUAAACAAACGCACCAGUCAGACUUGAUAUAGGAGUGAAUUUGUUGCUUUUUAAAGCGGCAGUCGGUCUGUACAUGUGUGAGGUGGCGAGGGGUGUCGCCAGGGGGCGGCUAGUAGCGUCUGCCACCAGGGAAAUAUGUAAAAACAUAAAAAAGACGCUUCUCAAGAAAGAGAGGGGCAGUCGGUCUGUACAUGCGUGAGGUGGCGAGAGGCGUGUCCAGGGGGCGGCUAGUAGCGUGUGCCACCGUGGAAAUAUGUACAGACAUAAAGAAGACGCCCUCAAGAAAGGCCUGAGUCCAGACCGAGACCCAGAGAAAUGUAAACAAACGCACCAGUCAGACUUGAUAUAGGAGUGAAUUUGUUGCUUUUUAAAGCGGCAGUCGGUCUGUACAUGUGUGAGGUGGCGAGGGGUGUCGCCAGGGGGCGGCUAGUAGCGUCUGCCACCAGGGAAAUAUGUAAAAACAUAAAAAAGACGCUUCUCAAGAAAGAGAGGGGCAGUCGGUCUGUACAUGCGUGAGGUGGCGAGAGGCGUGUCCAGGGGACGGCUAGUAGCGUGUGCCACCGUGGAAAUAUGUACAGACAAAGAAGACGCCCUCAAGAAAGAUGUGGUGAAGACAGUGUUAUGCACCACCACACCACCAUUACACUUCCUGUCUUGCUUGGUGAAUGAACAGAGCACCACUAACAUCACAUCAUUGCAUCACCACAUCACCACACCACCACCUCCUGUCCUGCCCCAGUGAAAUAGAACAUCACCACCACAUCACCACAUCAAGAGUCAGUGAUUGCCUGCAGCCAGCCCUAGCCUGACCCGCCAGACAUGUGUCCCAGGCCUUCCCCUAGCCUGUAGAGCCAUGUAAGCCUGCAGGUCAAGGUCAGGUAAAAAAAAAAACAGGCCGUAACGUAAAAGAUCAAGACAUUUACGAAGACUGUCUUUGAUGGGCUCAGGUCCUCCGUGCAGACCACCAACAAGCAAGAGAUUGACGAAAUACAGGUUGUGAAGACGCUGCAAGCUGAUGCCUUCAGAGAUCGCGAAGGUCCUCACCUUGUUGUAGGAGAGCUGACAACAUGUACCAGCCAGCAGCAACUCCCAUGCUAACAGGCUUCUCCCCCGCGGGUAUGUAGCACCUCUGGAGUCGCUCGAUGAAGAAGAGGAUGCUGGCGAGGCCUGUCGUGUUAGCCGGGAUGCGCCGGUACAGAGCUGUGUCCGUUGGGGUUGUGUAGGCAAGCAUCUUCUUGGCAAGGUCCUCGUAGGUGGCCGCAAACAGUUUACGGCUGUGGGAUGAGAACUUGUCUUGUGAAUGUGACGUUGGGAGGAGGGAAGCACAGGGGAAGAGGAGGACGAGGAGGAAGAGAGUUAAGAGUCACAAGAGGAGGAGGAAGGUGGAAAGAAAGAGGAAGGAGAGGAGGAGGAGGAGGAGGAGGAAGAUGGAGAAGGAAAGGAGAAAGAUAAGAAGGAAGGAAAUGCCGCAGAAGGAGAAGAGCAAUAAGAAAUUAGAAUUGACAGAGAAACCAGACAAGGGACUGCAUUUGAAGAAGCACAAGAACCAAGAAAUUACAUCAUUCAAUGAAAUGACAACAUAAUCUAAAAUAGAAAUCAAAAACGUCACAAGACAGAAUAGUGAGCUGCAUGCACUUAUCACAGAGUAUAAAGUCACUCCCUCAGAGGAAAAAGACAAGGAUGGCAUGUCUUCAUGUGAGAACUCAGAAGCUAAAUGUACAGAUACCAAGGGGAAAUUGCUGGGUCAAGUGGCUACACUGACAUCUGAGGUUAGCAGGUUGGAGAGUGAGUGCAGCAGUCUUCAGGUUCAGCUAGACUGUGAGAGGGAUAAGUAUAACAAACUGCUGGGAGAAUCUCUUGCUCAUGAAAAGUUGUCUGAAGAUGUCAUAACUGAACCAAAAGGAGAAACAACAGGAUUGGGAGGAACUGAGCUUUAACAGAAGCUGCAACAACUGCAGGAGCCUCACAGGGUCCUGGAGAGCAGGUUAACUUGCAGCAUGAAGGAGGUGGCUGAGCUAAGUGACAGGAAGUAGCAGCUUAAGCAUGCUGUAGUGCAUGAGGAGACAGAGUCCAUCGGUGUAUGCAUGUUUUUUGCUCAUUUGAAUCAUCUGUAAAAGUGAAGUGGAGGAAGUGUUUACUGUUUACUGUAUGCCAUUUCCUUGGUCUUUUAAUGAAGAAUUUUAUCCUUCUUCAGGUGACUACAUCACCAUCUACCAGUUGCAGCGAGGAGUGAUGAAGCAACAAGCUCGAGAAACGCGAGUUAGACCUUGCCAGCCUCCAUCAUGAAUGAGAGGAAAUGAAGCAAAACCACUCUGCAGGUUAGUGCUCUCUUUUGCAUCUCACACACUUCUUAUUCAUGUCAUGGCAGAUUAGUGAUUUCUGCUGCAUCUCACACACUUCUUAUUCAAUUGCUGGCAGGUUAGUGAUCUCUGCUGCAUCUCACACACUUCUUAUUCAAUUGCUGGCAGGUUAGUGAUCUCUGCUGCAUCUCAAACGGUUCUUAUUCAGGUGUUGACCAAAGUACUAAGCCUUCAUAUCAUUACCUUGCUCUGUGAUGGAGGCUACACCAUCUGGCAUCUAGCUGAGAUUUAAUGUUGCAGUAAAGCUUCCAUAUGAGUUCAUGUAGAGCAAAAUGUUUUCAAAUGCCAGGGAAGUAGUGUAAUGUAACCUUCCAGAGAAAUCUAUCCCUCAUUUAUUAGUUAACAGGAGUGUUUAAUGUACUUAAUGUGAUUAGCCAGGAUCAAGGGUCAACUUCUUCACUGACCAUUUACUCUCAGGUGAUGUAUCUGUCCUCCAUGAGUCACCAGAGACACAUAAGGUGUUGUAAGUGAAAUUUCAUCUAUUAGAUUUAUUCAAAAUGUGAAUUAACACAGUUGUUUCCUGCAGGAUUUGAUAUCAAAGCUGGUGCAGGAAAAAGGAAGCAGAUCAUGACCUUCAGCAGCUCGAGAAGAUAAGCAGCGUCCUUAAGAGUCCAGUUGCUAUCUUUAGCAGUGUUGGAACCAGUGAGUCUGAGACACCCACCAGCAGUGGAAAGCUGGCUGACGAGCGCCUCAAGCACUCUGAAAAGGUGGAGCAACAACAAGAAACAGAAAAUUGCAUCCAUCAUUCUUUGCCUGAGGAGGGAAUUGAUGCUCUGUUGACCCUUCACACUGAUGUCCCUCAUGAGGAGGCAGAAUAUGAAUCCUACAGAACUUGCCCAUAGAAAGACCAAAACUGUUACUGCUGCCACACUGCCACCACUUCCACUGACACCAAAAGCCCAACUGUGCAGAGAAUCCUGGACCUCCGCAAUGAAAUGGAGUCCACCAGUCACCUGGAGCACUUUAGCCUCCAAAAGUUCCAUCCGUGUCCAUUGUGUUUGGGUAAACUUAUCACUGUAUAAGGGGACAAGUAUCAGUGUAUGGUUACUAUAUACUCAUUUGUACUUAAAGAUGUCAUGUCACAUCAUUCUCUCUCUCUCUCUCUCUCUCUCUCUCUCUCUCUCUCUCUCUCUCUCUCUCUCUCUCUCUCUCUCUCUCUCUCUCUCUCUCUCUCUCUCUCUCUCUCUCUCUCUCUCUCUCUCUCUCUCUCUCUCUCUCUCUCUCUCUCUCUCUCUCUCUCUCUCUCUCUCUCUCUCUCUCUCUCUCUCUCUCUCUCUCUCUCUCUCUCUCUCUCUCUCUCUCUCUCUUUCUUUCUUUCUUUCUUUCUUUCUUUCUUUCUUUUUGCAUAUUUUACUGCUUUACAUUCCUCCCCACAGUAUUUUUUCAUCUACUUUAUGACUGCAGUAGUUUUAUCAUCCCAGUGUAUGCCGUAUCCACUCUGAAACUGUAAUUCACCAAUCAGCUCAAAUGUGUCUCUGUUUUGAUAAUCAUUAAUUUGUUUCAGCUACACAACCACUCUGAUAAGGGACAAAAUCUACUUCACCAGUCAUCUAUGUCAUACAGUCAUAUAUAUUCAUACAUAUGACAAAAUACUCUUCCUAAGACAUUUCUUAUUUUCUCUUCUCAAGUGACCUGUCCAUCUAUCUAAGGUACCACAUAACAUUUAAAACUUACAAUAUUGCAUUUAAUUCAUGAACAUUUUUUUGUCUAUGUAGACUUGAAAUUGUAUUGGUUCCUGUGGAUGAGUGGGCCAUGCUGUGCUUUGUCAAGGAUGGUGUUUGGUAUUGUGAUGACUCUUGCCACAAUCAAGUGUCUCCCACAGAGUAGUGGAGUACCUAUGUAUGGUGUUGACCCAAGCUGUCCAGGUCUCAUCCAAUGCCUUAAUAUGAUUUAGAUGAUCAAAAUGGUUUAACUCACCAUUUAAUCAGCUGACUGAUUUGAAUGGAGAAGUAUGUAAUGUGUUGUAGCCUAACCAUCCCUGCCAGCAUGGUCAGAUUCUUGGUAGUAACCUGAAAUGCUCCUAGGUAGUGAGUAUCAUUGCACAUAAUGAUCUUUACUUUGUCAGUAAUUCAAUGAUACUGAAUAUUACUCUACUGGAUUUUGCUCACCACUGCUUGGUAACUUUUGGCCAUAAUCCCAGGUCUGGAAUGAUAUGAAGCCAUGUUUUUACAUUCCAUAUGAGACAGGCAAGCACUAUGCUUUGCCUGACUGAUACCUGUACUAUACAUUUAUGACCCCAGGUAGUUCAUCACUCUCUCUCUCUCUCUCUCUCUCUCUCUCUCUCUCUCUCUCUGUUUGGAAUUAUACUGUAUAUUAGGAAAUAUCAUUAAAGAGUGUGUGUGUAAAAAGUGUUUGCAUUAUUGUGCAUUUGAUGUUAUAGCCCCAGGUUCUUAAAGUUUUCUAGUUUCAUGAUUUAUAAAGAUUGCUAUUUUUAAUAAAGUUAUUGAAAUUGUUA
Scylla paramamosain (green mud crab) is the source of this 5611-nucleotide RNA transcript. RefSeq lists it as uncharacterized. The record is from RefSeq and is a predicted model, not a curated record. Lineage: Eukaryota; Metazoa; Arthropoda; Malacostraca; Decapoda; Portunidae. The transcript has 19 exons.